Molecule: ribosomal RNA, 447 nt
Filed under: uncultured bacterium
Lineage: Bacteria
Description: bacterial SSU rRNA
Rfam family: Bacterial small subunit ribosomal RNA
Source: RNAcentral
AACGAACGCUGGCGGCAGGCUUAACACAUGCAAGUCGAACGGGCACCUUCGGGUGUCAGUGGCAGACGGGUGAGUAACGCGUGGGAACGUACCCUUCGGUUCGGAAUAACCCAGGGAAACUUGGGCUAACACCGGAUACGUCCGCAAGGAGAAAGAUUUAUCGCCGAAGGAUCGGCCCGCGUCGGAUUAGCUAGUUGGUGGGGUAAUGGCCCACCAAGGCGACGAUCCGUAGCUGGUCUGAGAGGAUGANCAGCCACACUGGGACUGAGACACGGCCCAGACUCCUACGGGAGGCAGCAGUGGGGAAUAUUGGACAAUGGGCGAAAGCCUGAUCCAGCCAUGCCGCGUGAGUGAAGAAGGCCUUAGGGUUGUAAAGCUCUUUCAGCGGGGAAGAUAAUGACGGUACCCGCAGAAGAAGUCCCGGCUAACUUCGUGCCAGCCGCCGCA